GUGUUUGGGUGUGGACAGGUGUAGCCUUGCCAUGGGCUGGGAAUAAGGAUGAUUCUGGAAUAAAAUAGUAAAACCUGGAGCAAUUUGAAACUUUUGGACCCCUCUACACUUCUCAGAACUCAGUCAAUGACUAAAUUUUUGGACCCUAAUUUUUUCUUUUUAUUCGAGUUUAAUCUCCUGCAGUUUCGCAAUCUCAGGCUUAAUUGAUUUCUUAUACCUAAGUAUCCAACAGCUGCUCGUAGAGAGGAAAAAAAUAACCAGAUGCGCAGAACAACUGCAUUGCUGUAUGCAAAGAACAGAUUCAAACAAAUCUACACAAUGAAAGGAACUGGGGGUAUAAUGGCUACCUCGGCACCAAGUAAGCAAGAAAAUAAUUAUUCGUGGGAAGGGGGGCCAAUUUCUAACAAGGGUGAUCCUAUUGUUGCGUUCAGCAAGCCACCUCCAUUCCCACCUUUUCUUGGACCUUUGGUUGCUAUUUCAUUGUUGGAGAUGUGGUCAAAUUGUGACAGAUGCGAUGACUGACGGGUGAUCCAAAUCCUUCACUUGACUAACUAAUAUCAUCUUUCAAAAGAACCUUUGUCAGUGUUACUGAGAAAUCUUCGAGAGGAUGAGCAGAAGUUUGAAUGCAUAGCUUAAUAAUGCAGUUACGAAGUUCCAAAUGUUGACGUAGCAUGCCAGAAGGGGAUCACACAAUGGUGCCAAAAAUAAACCAUAGUAUUUUUGUGUCUGUUCAAGAACAGUUUGGGGACUCCUUAGGAACCCUGCAGGAGUAAAAUAUCUCAAUGUAAAUAUGCUAUCUGUAUGAUAGACCCUGUUCAUGUAAUGUUUGUGAAGAUUAAUGACAUACACUCAGCAGUUGAUGGAAAA
Malania oleifera is the source of this 867-nucleotide long non-coding RNA. RefSeq lists it as uncharacterized. The record is from RefSeq and is a predicted model, not a curated record. Lineage: Eukaryota; Viridiplantae; Streptophyta; Magnoliopsida; Santalales; Ximeniaceae. The transcript has 3 exons.